GGGUUAAGUCCGUAACGAGCGCAACCCUUGUCCUUAGUUACCAGCACGUUAUGGUGGGCACUCGUAAGGAGACUGCCGGUGAACGAAACCGGAGGGAAGGGUGGGGAUGACGUCAAGUCAUCAUGGCCCUUACGGCCUGGGCUACACACGUGCUACAAUGGUCGGUACAAAGGGUUGCCAAGCCGCGAGGUGGAGCUAAUCCCAUAAAACCGAAUCGUAGUCCGGAUCGCAGUCUGCAACUCGACUGCGUGAAGUCGGAAUCGCUAGUAAUCGUGAAUCAGAAUGUCACGGUGAAUACGUUCCCGGGCCUU
Molecule: ribosomal RNA, 311 nt
Filed under: uncultured Pseudomonas sp.
Lineage: Bacteria; Pseudomonadati; Pseudomonadota; Gammaproteobacteria; Pseudomonadales; Pseudomonadaceae
Description: bacterial SSU rRNA
Rfam family: Bacterial small subunit ribosomal RNA
Source: RNAcentral